GACGAACGCUGGCGGCGUGCCUAACACAUGCAAGUCGAACGGAAAGGCCCUGCUUUUGUGGGGUGCUCGAGUGGCGAACGGGUGAGUAACACGUGAGUAACCUGCCCUUGACUUUGGGAUAACUUCAGGAAACUGGGGCUAAUACCGGAUAGGAGCUCCUGCUGCAUGGUGGGGGUUGGAAAGUUUCGGCGGUUGGGGAUGGACUAGCGGCGUAUGAGCUUGAUGGUGGGGUAGUGGCUUACCAAGGCUUUGACGGGUAGCCGACCUGGUAGGGUAACAGGCCCAGUUAGGCUGGGGAUACGGCACAGCCCCGAACGGUAGGCAGCGGAGGAGAAGAGAAUACUGUAGGAUGGAGGCAAGCGUGGCACAGCCACGCGGGGUAAGUCAGCCAGCCGGUAGUGAAGUGAAUUCGCCUGAGACGAGGCGUGAGUGACGGUAACGGGUGAAUAAGCACCGGCUAACUACGUG
Molecule: ribosomal RNA, 468 nt
Filed under: uncultured bacterium
Lineage: Bacteria
Description: partial 16S ribosomal RNA
Rfam family: Bacterial small subunit ribosomal RNA
Source: RNAcentral